RNAcentral lists this unclassified non-coding RNA (21 nucleotides) under Mus musculus (house mouse). RNAcentral describes it as "oocyte_clustered_small_RNA10048". The record is from RNAcentral. Lineage: Eukaryota; Metazoa; Chordata; Mammalia; Rodentia; Muridae.
AGCUUCCUCCACCUACUGACC